Molecule: ribosomal RNA, 497 nt
Filed under: uncultured bacterium
Lineage: Bacteria
Description: partial 16S ribosomal RNA
Rfam family: Bacterial small subunit ribosomal RNA
Source: RNAcentral
GAUGAACGCUGGCGGCGUGCCUAAUACAUGCAAGUCGAGCGAACAGAUAAGGAGCUUGCUCCUUUGACGUUAGCGGCGGACGGGUGAGUAACACGUGGGUAACCUACCUAUAAGACUGGAAUAACUCCGGGAAACCGGGGCUAAUGCCGGAUAACAUUUAGAACCGCAUGGUUCUAAAGUGAAAGAUGGUUUUGCUAUCACUUAUAGAUGGACCCGCGCCGUAUUAGCUAGUUGGUAAGGUAACGGCUUACCAAGGCAACGAUACGUAGCCGACCUGAGAGGGUGUUCGGCCACACUGGAACUGAGACACGGUCCAGACUCCUACGGGAGGCAGCAGUAGGGAAUCUUCCGCAAUGGGCGAAAGCCUGACGGAGCAACGCCGCGUGAGUGAUGAAGGUCUUCGGAUCGUAAAACUCUGUUAUUAGGGAAGAACAAAUGUGUAAGUAACUGUGCACGUCUUGACGGUACCUAAUCAGAAAGCCACGGCUAACUACGUG